Peromyscus maniculatus bairdii (prairie deer mouse) is the source of this 2566-nucleotide non-coding RNA. NCBI's taxonomy places the organism in Eukaryota, Metazoa, Chordata, Mammalia, Rodentia, Cricetidae. The record is from RefSeq and is a predicted model, not a curated record.
UUGGCUAUAUCGUGAAUGGAUUUACUUCACUGUAUAUAUUUUCUACUUCUAAGAAAAAUAACCAGAUAUUUUCCCCAGAGCAAAAUCCUAAGAACUUUGAAAAGCACUCUGCUUCAGGCUCUAUCACAUUUCACUUAAAGCCACUGGCCUUCUUUUACAAGCAUACUAAAAGGGGACAGAUUAAGGGUAGCUUUUAUGGGAUUUAUGAGUUUGGUUCAUUCACUUUUGUAUGUAUAGAAGGAUAAGAGAUAGAAUGAAAAUGAAAGAAGGAUAAGAAUGCUAAGAAGAUUUAUUGGUUCUUAUUCUAUCCUAAUUCUCCAAAACCCCAACUUCAAUAGCACCAGUUCCACAACCAAAAAAAAAAAAAGACGGAAAAAAGCAAAACUAUUGCACUUAGUGUAUGUUGGGCCCUGCCGUUUCAAAUGAAAAUUUUCAAGUAUUUUGUUAUACCUAUCUUCAAGAACAACUCUUUCUUAUUUUGUUAUUAUUAUUUAAUUUUCUUACCUUUUGUUCUGAUUAGGAACUUGGCUUUGACCCUGAGUUUGAAGUCCAGCCCAAGUUUCACUAUGUAAACUUUAAACUCCAAGGCCAGUUCUUUAAUUUUCUUCUGAGGCUCAUUUUAUCUAGUUUGAUAAUAGUGUAUCAUGCAGGAUGUGAAUUGUUUCAGUUCUAUAGGUCUGUUAUUAGGAAUUAGGAUAAUCCUUAAAGACUUACAGUUGGCUUCCAGUUCAUUUUAGCAGUGCUGCUUUAUCAUCACUCUCAGUGAUUCUUUCACUUCAGCUAUGAGUGGACCCAGUUUUGAGCUGUUUGAAGGUAAUCGUCUCCCAAAGAUGAAUGACUCAGGCGGGUCAAUCAGGAAGUCUGGAGAUGGCAGCUCAAUGCUGGUUUGAUCACUUUUCAUAAAGCAUAAGAAACUGAUGGUGAAAAGCUAUUACUGAAAACACUGUAUGCAGUCUACAAAGGACAUGAAAAAAUUAAGCUGGUACUGAUGUGAAAGCUUCAUCCCUACUAACGUCCCUUCAUCCCUGGCUAACUUUCACAAUCUGGAAAUUGUGAUACCAAGGAAGAAAUGUCACCAACAGUAUUACCAGCUUUAUAUCAACUUCACAAAAUGGAACUCACAACUGACAAUAUUUACUGGGGCAAACCCUCUUAUAACUGGCUAGGUCCUAAGUAAGAACUUGCUAUUAUUAUUCUACAAAAUGGAUAUUAUAACAAUCUUCCCACUAAAUCUUUAUCUUUCUUAAUAGAUCAACUCUCUGCCUUCAUCAGUGAAGCUUCUCUUGUGGUUCAUGGUGAUGAAUACAGAGAUCCACAUCAUUGUUAAUAUUAGAAGAAUAUGAGACUAUGGACUGCUAAGAUCUAAAGAGAGUAUCUAUAUCAUACCUCCAACACCACUAGCUCAUGGAUCACUGAGGAGGGGUUCUGGAAAUUUUGUAAAGGCCAGAAGUAGUGGAGGCCUGCAGUGAAAAAUAAUUUGCUGGAUAUGACAGGGCUUUUGAACAAAUUAACUUAGAGCUACUAUAACGGAAUGAAUGAAACCUUCACAAAAGCAGGCCAAGCAGCAUCCCAGCAUGGAUGAAGAAGUUUCUGAUGAGGUGCCACCUGUAGCUGGGAAGCUAUUGACAACCACAGGCUGCCGAAGAGGGGAACUUUGUUUCCUUCAUGGAUGAAGGCCCUGAAAGGCUACCUAUACCCCAGAACAUAGUCACACACCCAAAAACAUCGGAUCAGAACAAGUAGACUCGGUAUGUUUAAAUAUGAGAGAGGGAGAGAGAGAAAACAUUGAGUUUGCAGAGGAAAGGGAUGUGUUAUAAAGUGUAUUAAAAAGGCAGGGAGACGAAUUUGAUUUAAUUGAAAUUCAGCAUGUUCAUGUAUGAAAUUUUCAACAAAACAAUAGUAUAUUAAGUCAACCUUCCCACUCCCUAAAAUUAGAGAAAAAUAAUUUGAGUAUCUUUUGCACAAGCUUACACGCAAAAUGUUUGUUUUGUUAUAGUAAUUCUACAUUUUUUAUGAUUACAAAUAUUAAAACAGAUUUUACUUUUACAAAAAAAAAAGAUAAAACUAAAAAUUAACGAUUGAGGAGGUGAGUCUUUGUUCUCCUAGAUGACCACCACAGCCUCUCGGCUUUAGGCCCCCCUACUCUGACCCAUUGUGACCCCAGUUGUAGGGCAACAGGCAGGCCUCCUGCAGGCAGGCCUGACUAUGUCACCCACCAUUGGCCCCAGUAACCUACAAGCCCCACACCAUCCCCCAAACCCACCCAUUGCCCCAAGACCACAGCUGCUCUUUGAGAUACACACUCCACCCACUAUGAUUGGUCCAAGAGCACAAAUUGAAAUAAGAGCUCCAAUUGGACCAGGAGUGUCAAUUGGACCAAGAGAGACUCCCUGAGACACAGACACUGUUUGCACCAAUUGGAGGAAGAGAUAGGUAGAAGCCAGUGCAAGAAUACAUUCAGCAACAUAAAGAGCAAUAUGGCACCAGUAGAAAUUAGUGUUUCUACAUCAGCAAGAACUAAAGAUGACAACAUAAAAGAAGCAUAAGGAAAUGACCUUAAAAAUGA